UACAGAGGUCUCAAGCGUUGUUCGGAUUCAUUGGGCGUAAAGAGCUCGUAGGCGGUGUGUCACGUCGGCCGUGAAAACCUGCAGCUUAACUGUGGGCGUGCGGUCGAUACGGGCAUCACUGGAGUUCGGCAGGGGAGACUGGAAUUCCUGGUGUAGCGGUGAAAUGCGCAGAUAUCAGGAGGAACACCGGUGGCGAAGGCGGGUCUCUGGGCCGAUACUGACGCUGAGGAGCGAAAGCGUGGGGAGCAAACAGG
Molecule: ribosomal RNA, 254 nt
Filed under: uncultured bacterium
Lineage: Bacteria
Description: partial 16S ribosomal RNA
Rfam family: Bacterial small subunit ribosomal RNA
Source: RNAcentral